Long non-coding RNA from Humulus lupulus (European hop), 394 nucleotides. RefSeq lists it as uncharacterized. The record is from RefSeq and is a predicted model, not a curated record. The transcript has 4 exons. NCBI's taxonomy places the organism in Eukaryota, Viridiplantae, Streptophyta, Magnoliopsida, Rosales, Cannabaceae.
GGAGUCAGAAAAUCUGAGGUCAAAUUUAGGAUGUGUUGGAUGAGGCAACUACAAUGAAACUUUUAGAGAGGUAACUAUCUACAGGAUCCUAUGCUGAUAUGACCAUGUUAGAAGACGAACUACCAAUAAAAAGAUGACUUUCAUCAGCCCUUGUCAAGGUAUAUUGAGAUGAUUUCUUUGGAGCAAUUCUUGACAACAUUUGUAGUUGAGGCCUUUAGAAUGGAAGAAUGUAUUUCACUAAUUUUUGUAUACAUUUCUUGUUUUGUAUUUAGUGAUAAAGGAAUCUGAAUUGGGCAUAAAUUAUGUUGUAAUAUGAUUUCUUAAGCCUAGACUAGCAGACUAAAUAUUGUAAUUACAUUUGAUUAAUUAAUAAAAAUCUAUUUAUGUUACCUUA